GGUGUCACUGGUGGAUUGUAAGACUCAUCGGGCAUCAUCUUGAUGAUCGAUGGCCCUCGAAGGGUAGAAUUGAAAAUAUUCCAAUCCAUCGAAAAGCGUUUCGAUGAUACUGUAAUAGAGAUCACAAUAUAUUUCACUACCAGAUAGAAUAGAACCUAUGGGGUCACAUAUUAAGAGAUUCAAUUUUGAAUUUAUCAAUUGGGCUUAUGAAGUUCAAAUUGGGUUAGG
Molecule: long non-coding RNA, 228 nt
Filed under: Elaeis guineensis (African oil palm)
Lineage: Eukaryota; Viridiplantae; Streptophyta; Magnoliopsida; Arecales; Arecaceae
Description: long non-coding RNA (EGUI_LNC056996)
Source: RNAcentral